RNAcentral lists this ribosomal RNA (429 nucleotides) under uncultured bacterium. RNAcentral describes it as "bacterial SSU rRNA". It matches the Rfam family "Bacterial small subunit ribosomal RNA", at positions 355 to 775 of the family's 1533-position model. The record is from RNAcentral.
UCGAGAAUCUUUCACAAUGGGGGCAACCCUGAUGGAGCGACGCCGCGUGGAGGACGAAGGUUUUCGGAUUGUAAACUCCUGUCACUGCAGAACAAGGGUAGGGGGAUUAAUACUCCUUCUAUUUGAUGGUAUGCGGAGAGGAAGGGACGGCUAACUCUGUGCCAGCAGCCGCGGUAAUACAGAGGUCCCGAGCGUUGUUCGGAUUCACUGGGCGUAAAGGGUGUGUAGGAGGCUGGGUAAGUCUGAUGUGAAAUCUCACCGCUCAACGGUGAAACUGCAUUGGAUACUGCCUGGCUAGAGAGCUUGAGGGGGAAUCGGAAUUCUUGGUGUAGCAGUGAAAUGCGUAGAUAUCAGGAGGAACACCAGUGGCGAAGGCGGAUUCCUGGAAAGCGUCUGACUCUGAAACACGAAAGCCAGGGGAGCAAACGG